UUCUAUCCUUUAACUAUGUUUGUGAAUCUCUCAUAUAUUUGGUUAAUAGUCUUAGUUUCUUUCAUCUUAAAUAGCUCAUAGUCAUGUAUUAGAAGUCCUAUUUUGGAUUCCUUAACUUGGUUUGUUCCCUCAUAGGUUGUUUUUAAGAUAUCCCAAAUUUGUUUAGCAAUUUCACACAUGGAUACUCUAUUGAAUUCACUAGCAUUUAGAGAACAAAUGAGUAUGUUAAAG
This 231-nucleotide long non-coding RNA is filed under the name Theobroma cacao (cacao). RNAcentral describes it as "long non-coding RNA (TCAC_LNC005212)". The record is from RNAcentral. Lineage: Eukaryota; Viridiplantae; Streptophyta; Magnoliopsida; Malvales; Malvaceae.